ACCAAGAGUGAUCAACUGACCCGGGCAGCCAGAAGAGAUGAUAGGGAUACAUAUUCUUAACGGUGAUAGAGUGGUUUCAUAGAACAAAAUAGGCUGUUCCUGCCCGAGGGAACAUGGACUUCAGUGGAAGAGACACUCAGAAGAGAGCUGCGAAACAAGUAAGAAUUUCAGAUUGUGCUCAGUUCUUUGAAGAAAAACACAUGGGAUAAGUGAGAGACGUGUGACUCUGGGGGCAGAGGCUGUGUGGUCAGGAGGGGGCCCGUCAGUCAAAAGGCCUUGGUUGCCAAGCCAUUGAAACUCCUUCUGCGUCAUGUUGGGCAGAUUACAAUGUAGAUGAUUCCGUAGCUGGGCUGCAGCACCGUCCCUGGAGAGCACAUGACAGGAAUGCAUGUUGGGCAGGAUGUGAAGUUGAGCCCUGGGCUGAAGCAAACUUAACCCCACCUGCGGACAGGACACUUCUGAAGCCGCUGCCUCGGCUUCCACCAGAAGCUGCAUCUCUGUGCUGCUAGAGAUGGAGAGCCCUGUCUUAGCUGGUUCAGUCGGGGCUGAGUAUUCAGCAGCUAAAGCUGCAUGUACUGUGACCUUCUGAGCCAAAGGCAGGGAAAGAUGCUCUCUAAUCCAUCUGGAAGUGAUUUUGGUAUGUGGUAUGUAAAGUAUUUUAAAAAAACAUAUAGUUUGAGUAAAACUGUUGGUGGUAGGCUAAAAGCUCCUUAAAAACAGGAAGCAUGACUGAAUCACUCUGGUUUCCUCCACUUUCCCAGACAGAAGAGUCACCAACGCAGCCUCCUUGCUCAGGCUGCGCUGCCCCAACUACAGUCAGGGACCCCCCCGCCUUCCCUCUGCUGGGAGGCACCAGCCACCUGUGACUAGUGUCCUGACACCUCCCAUGUCCCCAGCAGACACCUGCCACAGUUGCGUUCGGGGAGAACCCGAGCAAUUAGCCAGCAGCGCCCCCUGGCGCCUCUUUCACCGCAAGUGUUCGGCUCUCAACUUGUUCAACCACCCUCCACCCGCUCCACGGGCAACUUUUCCGGGAAGGCGCCUCCAAAGACCUCUGUGAGUAGCGUAGGCUGCUCUGCUCUGACAACCUCUUCGGGGUAAAUUUCUUUUCCAUUUGAACAGCUUCUCCUUAGUUAAGGAGAAACCGUUAUUGCCCGGUUGCUUUUUCGUCUUUUGGAUGGAGAGAAGCAGAGGAAUUCUGGGCGGAGGCCAACGAUUAGCUGCAACAUCUACUGAUCACUUCCAUGAAGUCUUUGAGCCUUUGUAUAAAUAAAACACCAGCCGGGGGCUCCUUCUGCUCCCAUUGAUGCCCGAGUGCCAACUACAGGUUUGACUCUGAGACCCUCCUUAAAAAAUUAGGAAAAAAAAUUUUUAAAACGUUUUUAAAUUGGAUUUUUAUUGCCUAAGGAGGGAUCUGUAAAAUACGUAGAGUGGGAAGAAUGCAGAUAAAUAAGACCUGAAAGUUGUCCUCAAAUAUAUCAAAGCCAUACUGGAUAGUGGACCUGCUGGAGAAUAGAAAAAUAAA
This 1525-nucleotide long non-coding RNA is filed under the name Sus scrofa (pig). RNAcentral describes it as "lncRNA (ENSSSCG00030042664.1)". The record is from RNAcentral. Lineage: Eukaryota; Metazoa; Chordata; Mammalia; Artiodactyla; Suidae.